Kogia breviceps (pygmy sperm whale) is the source of this 611-nucleotide non-coding RNA. Lineage: Eukaryota; Metazoa; Chordata; Mammalia; Artiodactyla; Physeteridae. The record is from RefSeq and is a predicted model, not a curated record.
GAGCAGAGGUGGAGACCUCCUGAGGAAAGAGACAGACCUAAGGGGUCCCUGGGGGUCAUCUCAUCCAGCCCCCUGCCUGCAGGCCAGGCCACCUCUCUGGGCCUCAGCAAGAGCCGCGAGGCAUCCCCUUGGGCUGGGCAGUGUGACAAGCAGGCCUAGGCAGGGAAGUCCCCAGGCUCCAGGAAGCUGGGCGCUGCCCCGAGAGGAUACUACUCAGAUGGAACCAGAGGAAGCUGCUCUGCGCCUGCCUGCCCCCUGCCCGGGGAGGGCUCUCCCUGCCUCCUCCCCAGCCUCUGGUCUGCCCAGAAUGGGACAUCAGGGACCUCUGUAGCUGCUGAGGGCACACAUCGGUUGCCCAGGCCCACUCAAGCCAGUCUUCACCGUGGAACACCAGGGAAUCCCUGGGGCCCCUUCUCCCCCCAGCACCCAAUAGUAAGUUGGGCAGCAGAGGAGCCAGACACGGAAGCAAGACAGCAAGAAACUGGAUUUUUAAUUUUCUCUUUUUAAUAAAAAGGCACCUAUAAAACAGGUCAAUACAGUACAGGCAGCACAGAGACCCCCGGAACAAGCCUAAAAAUUGUUUCAAAAUAAAAACCAAGAAGAUGUCUUCA